Molecule: small RNA, 1384 nt
Filed under: Rattus norvegicus (Norway rat)
Lineage: Eukaryota; Metazoa; Chordata; Mammalia; Rodentia; Muridae
Description: uncharacterized LOC103692378
Source: RNAcentral
AAAAUAAGCGUCUGCUUCUCAGUCAGGGAUGCGAGAGUGUUUAGAGUGUUAGCCUUUCCUCUGCCUCCAUACAAAGCAUUUUAUCAUUUCGGGUUUCCAACAGAGGUUCCUCCUCUCUGUGUCAACACAUACUGCUUUUCGUUCCAGGCUCCCCCUUGGUUUAGGUUGCCCCUUGAUUACAGUUCCUUCUCCAUGAGCUAAGGGGACAUUAGCUCUGAUGAUGGCACCUGGUCACACUGGCAAGCUAACAGCUGAAAAAAAUCUGGUCUGAAUUAAAGCUUUUCCUUUUUAAAAAAAUACAGCUCUUAGGAAGUUUAAAGCAACGUGCACCCCAUUUCGAGUCUGUCUGUCACACAGAUGUGUGUUUCCGGGGUGGGCACAAUGUCACAGAAGUAUUGCUACAUUCAUUAUUUCCCAGUUAUGAACAGAGCCAUCCCCAACAGCCUUCUGGGAAAUGACGGAAGCACUGGAGAAGAAAUUAGAGGUGAGUCCUAUGGGUUGUAAGUAACGGCCUCUGGAGGUUUGGAAGGCACGGUUAGGAAUAUGUGAGACUAAACGGAGUGAGGGAUGUUCAUGUCUCUCCAGAACAGGUUCUCUUAGUUCCGAUGCUGGAUCGCCCUUAAUAUCCACCCUUUGUGAUCGUCUUCACACGACGCCAUCGAGAAGGCAAGGAUGAAGUUGAAAGGGUCUUGAUCACCCUGAGGCCGCCAGGAGCUUAACGUUUGAAAAGCUGCGUCCAAUGGGGUUUUGUUCACAGGGGGCGUGUACAUUUGAAAUGGCGGCAGAUGGUUGGGGGAUGUACCGUCCUUCAAACAUAUAAACGAGAGCUUUCUAGUUAAACAAUUGAGCGGUUCAAGUUAAGUAUGAACUUGAGACAUCUGCGUCAGAGGUUCGUUAUAUUAGAUAAAAGAAAUCGACAUUCUUGUUGAGACAAGCGAAGAUGGUUCUUCUGUGAAGAUGUUCAUUCAUGUGCCCAGAGGAGUUCUGGAGGCCUGGACCUCACUGGAAUCUUCCAGAACUGGGUCUACAGAUGAUAUACAGUUGAUGUUCCCUUGCUAAGGAAUUGAGGAUCUCAGUGUGAGAUGGGUGUGAAGCUGGCCUUGCUCACCGCAAAGCCCAAGCCUCUGUUACGCCUCUGUUUUUCCCGUUCGCUGUUGUUCUAUUGGAAAGGUCAAGGCAUGGGUCACCCAAAAAGUGUCAGGAAUGGGUUCUGCCUUGUGAAGUGAGCCUUAAGUCAAAUCAGAUAUUGGUUGGUUACUUCCACAGACUUUGUGUCACCAUUGUACACUAGCCCAUUUUGCAGGACACCAACGUAGAUUAAAGGGUAAGUGGCUGUUUUGGUGUAUACAUUCUCCUUCAGUAGCAGGUGGAAUACUGUCCCGCG